Molecule: ribosomal RNA, 614 nt
Filed under: uncultured Legionella sp.
Lineage: Bacteria; Pseudomonadati; Pseudomonadota; Gammaproteobacteria; Legionellales; Legionellaceae
Description: bacterial SSU rRNA
Rfam family: Bacterial small subunit ribosomal RNA
Source: RNAcentral
UAGCUAGUUGGUGGGGUAAAGGCCUACCAAGGCUGUGAUCGGUAGCUGGUCUGAGAGGACGGACAGCCACACUGGGACUGAGACACGGCCCAGACUCCUACGGGAGGCAGCAGUGGGGAAUAUUGGACAAUGGGGGCAACCCUGAUCCAGCGAUGCCGCGUGUGUGAAGAAGGCCUGAGGGUUGUAAAGCACUUUCAGCGGGGAGGAGGAUUGGUAGGUUAAGAGCUAACUGAUUGGACGUUACCCGCAGAAGAAGCACCGGCUAACUCCGUGCCAGCAGCCGCGGUAAUACGGAGGGUGCGAGCGUUAAUCGGAAUUACUGGGCGUAAAGGGUGCGUAGGUGGUUAAUUAAGUUAUGUGGUAAAGACCAGGGCUUAACCCUGGGGUUACAUAUAAGGCUGGUUAACUAGAGUAUGGGAGAGGGUAGUGGAAUUUCCGGUGUAGCGGUGAAAUGCGUAGAGAUCGGAAGGAACACCGGUGGCGAAGGCGGCUACCUGGCCUGAUACUGACACUGAGGCACGAAAGCAUGGGGAGCAAACAGGGUUAGAUACCCUGGUAGUCCAUGCUGUAAACGAUGUCAACUAGCCGUUGGCCUAUUAAAAGGUAAGUGGCGC